AAAAGGAAGCGAUUCCGGCGGAGGAUGGGCAUGCGGCGCAUUAGCUAGUUGGCGGGGUAACGGCCCACCAAGGCGACGAUGCGUAGGGGUUCUGAGAGGAAGGUCCCCCACACUGGUACUGAGACACGGACCAGACUCCUACGGGAGGCAGCAGUGAGGAAUAUUGGUCAAUGGGCGGGAGCCUGAACCAGCCAAGUCGCGUGAGGGAAGACGGUCCUAUGGAUUGUAAACCUCUUUAGGCGGGGAGCAAUGCCGGGCACGCGUGCCCGGAGGGAGAGUACCCGCAGAAUAAGCAUCGGCUAACUCCGUGCCAGCAGCCGCGGUAAUACGGAGGAUGCGAGCGUUAUCCGGAUUUAUUGGGUUUAAAGGGUGCGUAGGCGGAUUUUUAAGUCAGCGGUAAAAUGUCCGGGCUCAACCCGGGCCGGCCGUUGAAACUGGGGAUCUUGAGUGGGCGAGAAGUAUGCGGAAUGCGUGGUGUAGCGGUGAAAUGCAUAGAUAUCACGCAGAACUCCGAUUGCGAAGGCAGCAUACCGGCGCCCGACUGACGCUGAGGCACGAAAGCGUGGGGAUCGAACAGGAUUAGAUACCCUGGUAGUCCACGCAGUAAACGA
This 611-nucleotide ribosomal RNA is filed under the name uncultured bacterium. Its description in RNAcentral is "bacterial SSU rRNA". It matches the Rfam family "Bacterial small subunit ribosomal RNA", at positions 202 to 809 of the family's 1533-position model. The record is from RNAcentral.